This 74-nucleotide transfer RNA is filed under the name Betaproteobacteria bacterium HGW-Betaproteobacteria-12. RNAcentral's name for it is "tRNA-Met". It matches the Rfam family "tRNA". Rfam says of the family: Transfer RNA (tRNA) molecules are approximately 80 nucleotides in length. Their secondary structure includes four short double-helical elements and three loops (D, anti-codon, and T loops). Lineage: Bacteria; Pseudomonadati; Pseudomonadota; Betaproteobacteria. The record is from RNAcentral.
CGCGGGGUGGAGCAGUUUGGCAGCUCGUCGGGCUCAUAACCCGAAGGUCGCAGGUUCAAGUCCUGCCCCCGCAA